AGGGAGACGGGAGAGGCUAAAUAUAACCACAUUAAAAACCAUCAGCAAUGUUGGAAACAGCUUCAAGCUUAACAUCAACAAAAUCGGGGGCUUUUAUCACCAUGGCCAAACACACACCUGGUCCAGAAAUCAGAGAACCUUAAGGGGAUCUAUGGAAGGUGGAGCAUUUGGAGGCUCCACUGCUUCUUCACACCAGUGAAGUGAGGUGGCAGAUGACAUUGAAAAAAUACAAGCAAUUGUGGAUCACCUGAAUGGCUGCCUUAAAACUGAGAACUGACAAUUGAUUUCAGUGCCUGCAUGUGUGUUGUGUUUUUAUUGUACAAAUGGGCAUUACUAUAAUUAUCAAGAGCUGACACAGAAAAGAAGGCAGAGAGACUUUGUAGCCCAAAAUGAGGCAAUCAGGACACAUGAAGUUCAAUGAAGUCACUAUCUUUUGUUAUAUUAACCUAGGUUUUACCCUAGUUCAGGUAAGGAAAACCAUCAUGUGGCCCAAGUGGUUUAAGUUGCUAAAUUCAAAAGAACCUGUAUUCAGUAGCCAGUCCCAUGUUAAGAGUGGAAAUUUGUUUCCAUACAAAUGAUG
Molecule: long non-coding RNA, 580 nt
Organism: Mesoplodon densirostris (Blainville's beaked whale)
Lineage: Eukaryota; Metazoa; Chordata; Mammalia; Artiodactyla; Ziphiidae
Exons: 3
Source: RefSeq, a predicted model, not a curated record